AUAUCCAUUAUAAUAAAGCAAUAGAAGAGGAGGAGAUUGAUUUAAAAGCUCAUUAGCCGAUGCAAUGAUGUUUUAGGAAGAAGAUAAAACAGUUAAACACUCAGAUCUCAAGUUUGUCUACUACUCUCCCAAAACCCGAUAAUAUUGUUCUCUUCUUUACGUUUGACCGGUGUCUCCUAUCUUCGGUCUUCGCAUGAGUUCAAUUUUUUAAAUAAAGAUAUUUUGGAUAUUAUUAGUUUGAUCAUUAUUUACAUUAAGUUAUUUUAAUUAAAGCUAUAUAUAUCUACAAGAUCUUUUUACCACUUUGAUCCUCCACCUUCUUUCAUAACGUUUAUCAGCAAUUUUGAAUUAUCAAUUUCCCACUAUGAGUAUGAUAAAUAUACACUUUUUUCUUCUUUUUUUUUUCACUUCAACAUUGCUAAUAAGAAAAAUGAUUACAAGUAUUUAUUUUCUCUAA
Long non-coding RNA from Arabidopsis thaliana (thale cress), 457 nucleotides. RefSeq annotates it as other RNA. The record is from RefSeq. Lineage: Eukaryota; Viridiplantae; Streptophyta; Magnoliopsida; Brassicales; Brassicaceae. The transcript has a single exon.